RNAcentral lists this ribosomal RNA (549 nucleotides) under uncultured Pseudomonadota bacterium. RNAcentral's name for it is "bacterial SSU rRNA". It matches the Rfam family "Bacterial small subunit ribosomal RNA", at positions 829 to 1374 of the family's 1533-position model. The record is from RNAcentral. Lineage: Bacteria; Pseudomonadati; Pseudomonadota.
AGCUCGUCUUUUCGGUGACGCACUUAACAGAUUAAGCAUUCCGCCUGGGGAGUACGGUCGCAAGAUUAAAACUCAAAGGAAUAGACGGGGACCCGCACAAGUGGUGGAGCAUGUGGUUUAAUUCGAAGAUACACGAAGAACCUUACCUGGCCUUGACAUCCCAAGAACUUUCCAGAGAUGGAUUGGUGCUAGCUUGCUAGAACUUGGUGACAGGUGCUGCACGGCUGUCGUCAGCUCGUGUCGUGAGAUGUUGGGUUAAGUCCCGCAACGAGCGCAACCCUCGUCCUUAGUUGCUAACAGUUCGGCUGAGCACUCUAAGGAGACUGCCUCCGUAAGGAGGAGGAAGGUGAGGACGACGUCAAGUCAUCAUGGCCCUUACGGCCAGGGCUACACACGUGCUACAAUGGGGCGUACAGAGAGCUGCAAUACCGCGAGGUGGAGCCAAUCUCUUAAAGCGUCUCUCAGUUCGGAUUGUUCUCUGCAACUCGAGAACAUGAAGCUGGAAUCACUAGUAAUCGCAGAUCAGCUAUGCUGCGGUGAAUACGUUCU